AAAAUCUAACAACAUAUUUUACUAACAAACAAACCCAUUCUCUUUCUCUUUCAUCUUACUUCCAAGUUAGCAAGAACAAAAGAAAAAGGGAGAGGGAGAGAGAGAGGAAUUUCGGCAGCCCUAGGGUGAGAAGAGAGGAGAUUUUGGUUUUCAUACAAUCAAGAUCCAUCUCAUAAUUUAGAAGGAGAAGAAGGAAAAGCUAAGGUAUAGCAAAAAUUUCUACUUAUGUAGUCUAAUUUUCUUUGUGGUUUGAUUUGAUUUUUGUCAAUAUGAAGUUAUGAUCUUGAGGUUUAAAACCUUAGAUCUAUGUGUUUAUGAGUGUUUCAUGUGUAGAAUUACCCAUAUUGGGUGUUGAUUUGGUUGGAAUCAAAGGAAUAGAAAAAUAGAAUUUUUCCGGAAAGUUAAACUUUUAAAGUGUGAUCUAACUUUUGAUAUUUUUGAAAUCUAUGAUGGAUAUUUGUGAUUUAUGUUCUUGGGAUGCUAGGUCUAUGUAUUAAUGAUAAAAUCCCUUUGGAAUCACUCAAUUAGGUUGAAUAUUGAGCAAGUUAUAAAAUUUAUUCCAAACUACUCCAAGCUAGAAAAAACUGUUAACAUAACAGUUUAUAACAGCCACUUCCGGGAUAAUUUCCGGGAGCUUAACAUAUCCAAAUAUGGAUUGUGAUAGAUGAAAACUGUAGAUCGGAAAGAUACGAAUCCAACAAAAUUGACAGAUCGUUAAUCGGAGUUAUAGAUUUCAUUUUAUUUAAGUUUUGGUAAAGGACUCCAAAACUGCCAAAGUACAAAAGGAAGCUGCCCAAAAUUUUAUAGGGGCUGUUUCAGUAGUUUAAAUUGCGGAAUAGAUUCCGGGCUUUUGGGACAUGAAAAUAUAAGGUAUUAAGUACCUUGUGUCCAAAAAUGAGCCCAUUCCGACUUAAAACGACCAAGUUAUGACCAUUUUAAUUUUUGUGAUUUUCGGACGGAAAUCGCUAUAACCGGAGUUCUACAACUCCGAUUGCCACGAAAUUUAAACUGGAGGCUCACGUUAACACGUAUAAGAUCGUGUCAAAAGAUGGGAAAUUCUGGAGUUAAGCACGAGGUAGCUAAUUUCUUAAGCUACGCACUAAAAUUGAUUUUUUGAAAAAUACCAAAGGAAGUUGGAAAAUUAUGAAAAAUAAUUUUUGUGUAUAAAAUAUAUGUAUAUGUGUUUGGACAAAGGAUAAAAAAAUAAUAAACUGUUUUGGUAUUUUCGUGAAAAGGAUAUGGAAUCCAGCUUGCUGGAUUAUGUAAUUUGUGAUUCCAGUUUGCUGGAUUGAAAAACAGUUUACUAAAUUGAAAAUUUGUUGAAUCCAGUUUGCUGGAUUGCAAUUUGGUUUGUGGAUUUGGAAUCCAGGUUGCUAGAUUUGGAAUUCAGGUUGCUGGAUUUGGAAUCCAGGUUGCUGAAUUGGCAAUUUAGUUGCUAGACAUAGAAUCCAGGUUGCUGGAUUCGUAUUUAACUUAUUAUUAGAUGUUAAAGAUUAACUUAUGAAAUGAAAAGGUAAGUGUUAAAUCAUAAUGUAUAUGAUAUAGUGAUUAAAGAAUUAUCAAAAGAUGAUAAUAAUGCUAAAGAUAUUUGACUUAUCUAAUAUUGAAGCUUAGAAGCCGAAUUUAAUUGACAAUAACUGUGUUAAUUGUCGGAUAGGGUGACCAGAACACCGAGAAUGGACCGAAGUCCAACCAGACUGAACUAGUUUGACUUGUUAAGUGUUUAUAUAGGUUAUAAACAUUGAUGUGGUUAUGUGGUAAUGUGUUUAUGAAAAGUAUGACUGUAGAUUACAGUGUUGUGUGUUUUUAUAUUGUUGUUCUAAUUGUGAGACCGAUAUCAUUGGUUAUAGGUCUUUCAAAAGCAGAUAAGUAUUUUGUGUAGCUGUAAUCAGCAGAAGAGGCAAGUUCCCUAACUCAACCUUGAGUUAUAUUCAUUCAAUUGUUAUGGUGGUUAAUUAUUGUUGAUUAAGCCACGUCUAGGGAUUUAUUGUUGAUAUUUUGCAGUUAGUGCAUGUUUAAUGAUUCAAUUUGAAUUACUGAUUCAGAAUAUAUACAUUCGUAGAAUAACUGUUGUUGGAUAUUCAUAUCUGUAGAAGUUAGAAUUGACAGUACAGAUAAUUCAUGUUUAUUGUCAAAACUAUAUUGAGAAAUGUCUUAGCCAAUUAUUCUGGUUAGACGAACAUUUGUUAGAACUUAAUAGGUUUGAGAAGAUAAGAGAAGAGAAUUUAAUUAUUAUUGAUAGAUCAAUGCCAGUUGUUUCGGCUAGAUCGAAAAUGAAAACUUGAUAGGUUUGAAAAGAGAAGAGAAGAGAAGCAAAUAGAAUUUGAAAUCACAGUAUUUUGUUGUUAAAUCAAACUCUUGAUUCUAAGACUAAGAAGAACAACCUUUUAUAUAAAGGGAACAUUUUGUUGGUCGUGAAUUCGACCUUUGCGCGCGUUUUGAGUAUUAUGCAUAAUAUAGGGUACAAGGAGUUGACCGAAUCUGAGUGCUUGCAUAGGGGUAUGAUUUAAUCUUUAUGGUUAUCUAAUACACCUGAGUAUAUAUCAAAGUAAAUCUUUGAUAGAUACCCGAGAAGCCUGAGUAUAUAUCAAAAUAAAUCUUUGAUAGAUACCCGAGAAGUCUGAGUAUAUAUCAAAGUAAAUCUUUGAUAGAUACCCGAGAAGAUAAGUUCAAGAUCUUGUGUGAUCGCUCAGUAUAAAUCUGGAAAACAUUCCACUUUGUUACUUCGUAGAAUUGAUUCUUGAUUAUUCAUUAGAAUAUCGUAGAAACUUUAAAAGCGUUGUACUCUUUCAUUAUUGAAUUAUUGUGUUGUAUAGAAUACGAGAAGAAUUGUUAUUGAAUAACGAUUUGUUCAGCUAUUUCAAAGUUCCCCGAACUUUGGUUUCAUUCUAUCAAAAUAGAUAGUCUCUUGUUUUUGAAUUCUUAUAUAUUUAUUGUAUGUCUUAACUUGCGGGGCAAAUUAGUUGCUCACCCUUGCUAAAUAAAACUUUUCAGCUAGGGACGAAGUUGCAGGAGGUGCUGCGAAAGAUAAAGGCAAAGGCAUAGUUAUUAAUUAAUUAUGAUUAACAUAUUUAUUAUGUUGUAUUGUAAACCCUUUUUGUAUAUCUAAAGGGUAUGUUUGUAAUGUUAAGGUUAGAGAACCUGAAAAAUGUAUUAUCAAACUCUGAUAAAGUCUUAUGUAUGUUACUCUCUAUAUAUUAUGGGUAGUUAAAUGUUAUUUAUAUUGUGGAUCGUGAGCACCAAACUCGGGGGUCAGGUAACUCAAAUUUG
This 3270-nucleotide long non-coding RNA is filed under the name Panax ginseng (ginseng). RNAcentral's name for it is "long non-coding RNA (PGIN_LNC002999)". The record is from RNAcentral. Lineage: Eukaryota; Viridiplantae; Streptophyta; Magnoliopsida; Apiales; Araliaceae.